This 20-nucleotide transfer RNA is filed under the name Selenia dissecta. Its description in RNAcentral is "partial transfer RNA-Leu (UAA)". The record is from RNAcentral. Lineage: Eukaryota; Viridiplantae; Streptophyta; Magnoliopsida; Brassicales; Brassicaceae.
AAAAUCCGUUGACUUUUUAA